CAUAGGUAGCAAUCCAUUCUAGAAUUCUUCUCAUUACCUCCCAUGGAAAAAAGAUCCCACAAAGAAAAGAAUUGUAUAGUACGAAAUAACAUAAAAACUUAUUUUUUUUAAGAAAAAAACAAAAGAUAUGAAUCCUUUAUUCCAAUAGUUCCUUUUUUACAAGAAUCGAUAAGAAAUAAGAAAUAUUUCAAGGCGAUUUGAUUCCAUUCUAAUGUAGUAGUAUAGGAACUAUUCCAAUUUCGUUGAAGUUACAAAUUCGAAGAACUCGAGAAAUUUUGAUUGAAUCAUGAUACAAAUUACAUAGAAGAAAAAAGACCGGAUAAUCAUUCUAAGAUGAAAAUAGAAUAACUG
Molecule: long non-coding RNA, 351 nt
Filed under: Nicotiana benthamiana
Lineage: Eukaryota; Viridiplantae; Streptophyta; Magnoliopsida; Solanales; Solanaceae
Description: long non-coding RNA (NBEN_LNC027418)
Source: RNAcentral